RNAcentral lists this ribosomal RNA (660 nucleotides) under uncultured organism. Its description in RNAcentral is "bacterial SSU rRNA". It matches the Rfam family "Bacterial small subunit ribosomal RNA", at positions 1 to 663 of the family's 1533-position model. The record is from RNAcentral.
GGCUUAGAGUUUGAUCAUGGCUCAGGAUGAACGCUGGCGGCGUGCCUAACACAUGCAAGUCGAACGAAGCACUUAUCUUAGAUUCUUCGGAUGAAGAGAUAUUUGACUGAGUGGCGGACGGGUGAGUAACGCGUGGGUAACCUGCCUCAUACAGGGGGAUAACAGUUAGAAAUGACUGCUAAUACCGCAUAAGCGCACGGAAUCGCAUGAUUCAGUGUGAAAAGCCGAGACGGUAUGAGAUGGACCCGCGUCUGAUUAGGUAGUUGGUGAGGUAACGGCCCACCAAGCCGACGAUCAGUAGCCGACCUGAGAGGGUGACCGGCCACAUUGGGACUGAGACACGGCCCAAACUCCUACGGGAGGCAGCAGUGGGGAAUAUUGCACAAUGGGGGAAACCCUGAUGCAGCGACGCCGCGUGAAGGAAGAAGUAUUUCGGUAUGUAAACUUCUAUCAGCAGGGAAGAAAAUGACGGUACCUGACUAAGAAGCCCCGGCUAACUACGUGCCAGCAGCCGCGGUAAUACGUAGGGGGCAAGCGUUAUCCGGAUUUACUGGGUGUAAAGGGAGCGUAGGCGGUCUGACAAGUCAGAAGUGAAAGCCCGGGGCUCAACCUCGGGACUGCUUUUGAAACUGCCGGACUAGAUUGCAGGAGAGGUAAGUG